RNAcentral lists this small nuclear RNA (169 nucleotides) under Dermacentor silvarum. RNAcentral's name for it is "U1 spliceosomal RNA". It matches the Rfam family "U1 spliceosomal RNA". From Rfam's summary of the family: U1 is a small nuclear RNA (snRNA) component of the spliceosome (involved in pre-mRNA splicing). Its 5' end forms complementary base pairs with the 5' splice junction, thus defining the 5' donor site of an intron. There are significant differences in sequence and secondary structure between metazoan and yeast U1 snRNAs, the latter being much longer (568 nucleotides as compared to 164 nucleotides in human). The record is from RNAcentral. Lineage: Eukaryota; Metazoa; Arthropoda; Arachnida; Ixodida; Ixodidae.
AUACUUACCUGGUGCCGGGAUAACCGUGAUCAACGAGGCGGUGUCCCCAGAGUGAGGCACGGGCAGGGGUCAGCACUGCGCCCGUGCUGACCCCUGCCACUACCCCAAACUGGGGCAGAUGGGGCAUGUAAUUUUUGGUAGUGGGGGACUGCGUUCGCGCUAUCCCCCU